CUUCUCUGUCCUCCUCCUCUCGUGUCUUCUUCCCUCCUUUUUUUUUCUCCGAUUCCGCCGCCUUCAAUGGCCGCGGCCCCCACUCAGCAUGCUCUUUUCUAGACAUGGAGCUUGCGUUACUCUACCACUCCUCAACACGCAAUUUUUUAUUAAUCGUUCUCGCGUCUCGGAAAUCUGUGUAUUCAACCUUGGUUUCUUUCGAUCGAUGUCUGCCACUUGUCGUUUUGGAAGGAUCUGUUUUUGCUUUCAGUCUAUUUCAACUGGAUUUUCUCCUUAAUAUGAAGGUUUUACUUGAAUUAAGGCGAUUUUGUUUUUCCUUGAUUCUUCGGUGAUAUUGAACCGUAGCUUCAUGCUUAAGUGGAUGAAUUGAUUUAAAAAAUAAAAAAUAAUAUUAUUCACAAAUGUAUCUAUUAUAGGUAUGUUUGUUUUAAUGUAAUUUGAAAUUUGGUUUGGUGAGAAGAACAUAUAUAUAUAUUUUAAAAAAAAUAAAAUUGCAGAGUCGAAAUAAUAAAAUUGUAAAAUUUGAGGUUAAAGGAACAAACACUACAUUAAAAUUUGAUGUUAGAGAAACAAACACUAUAUUAAUGUGUGUAUAUUUGUAUAUUUUUAAUAGUAUUUAUAAAAUUAUACCAUUGAAUAAAGCUGAAUGAACAAAGUAAUUGUGUAUAAUUAUUUGUAAAUAUUAUAAUUUUUAAUAAUAUUCAUAAAAAUUUGAUCAAGUAAAAUAUAAUUGGGUGCACAUACGUCCCUUAUUUUUAUAUAAAUAAUUUAAAAAAUUUUAUUUAAAAUUUUUUAUUUAGGAAUAAUAGAAAAUCUACUAAAUCCCCCCAAACAAACACAACCCUUCUCAAUAUAUUGUAAAAAUACCAAGUCUAAGGUCAGAAAAUCAUAUAAAACCUAAUUCAGUUUGAGCUCACAGUCCCCUAACAAUAUUUGAUGCGGCAAAUCAAAUACUGAUUCUUAUACAAGAACAAUGGAUAUAACCUUCUUAUCAAAUAUUAUCAUAAAAGAAAA
Long non-coding RNA from Andrographis paniculata, 1014 nucleotides. RefSeq lists it as uncharacterized. The record is from RefSeq and is a predicted model, not a curated record. Lineage: Eukaryota; Viridiplantae; Streptophyta; Magnoliopsida; Lamiales; Acanthaceae. The transcript has 2 exons.